GAUGAAGAACGUAGUGAAAUGCGAUAAGUAAUGUGAAUUGCAGAAUUCAGUGAAUCAUCGAAUCUUUGAACGCACAUUGCGCCCUCUGGUAUUCCUGGGGGCAUGCCUGUUCGAGCGUCAUUAUAACCACUCAAGCUCUCGCUUGGUAUUGGAGUUCGCGAUCUCGCGGCUCCUAAAAUCAGUGGCGGUGCCUGUCGGCUCUACGCGUAGUAAUACUCCUCGCGAUUGAGUCCGGUAGGUUUACUUGCCAGCAACCCCCAAUUUUUACAGGUUGACCUCGGAUCAGGUAGGGAUACCCGCUGAACUUAAGCAUAUCAAUAAGCGGAGGA
This 329-nucleotide unclassified non-coding RNA is filed under the name soil metagenome. RNAcentral's name for it is "partial contains 5.8S ribosomal RNA, internal transcribed spacer 2, and large subunit ribosomal RNA". The stretch from base 1 to 120 matches the Rfam family "5.8S ribosomal RNA", at positions 35 to 154 of the family's 154-position model. The record is from RNAcentral.